GGUCUCGCCUGCCCAGUGAAAUUUUUUAACGGCCGCGGUAUUCUAACCGUGCAAAGGUAGCGUAAUCACUUGUCUUUUAAAUAAAGACUAGUAUGAACGGCUGAAUGAGGACAAACCUGUCUCUUGCAACCAAUCAGUGAAACUGAUCCUCCAGUACAAAAGCUGGAAUAUACCCAUAAGACGAGAAGACCCUGUGGAGCUUUAAACCAAACACUAAUAAGCAAACAACCAAGCGCAUUUAGUGUGUUGUUUUGAGUUGGGGCGACUUCGGAACAAAACAAAACUUCCAAGCACAGAACCACAACUUCUAGCCAAGGCAAACAGGCCUAAGCAAGCCAACACGACCCAGUAAAACUGAUCAACGAACCAAGUUACCCCAGGGAUAACAGCGCCAUCUUCUUCAAGAGUCCAUAUCGACAAGAAGGUUUACGACCUCGAUGUUGGAUCAGGACACCCAAAUGGUGUAGCCGCUAUUAAAGGUUCGUUUGUUCAACGAUU
Molecule: ribosomal RNA, 498 nt
Filed under: Janetaescincus braueri
Lineage: Eukaryota; Metazoa; Chordata; Lepidosauria; Squamata; Scincidae
Description: partial 16S ribosomal RNA
Rfam family: Bacterial large subunit ribosomal RNA
Source: RNAcentral